AUGCUCUUCUUCCUCUUCUUGCU
Molecule: small RNA, 23 nt
Filed under: Arabidopsis thaliana (thale cress)
Lineage: Eukaryota; Viridiplantae; Streptophyta; Magnoliopsida; Brassicales; Brassicaceae
Description: ATSL299240
Source: RNAcentral